Molecule: ribosomal RNA, 499 nt
Filed under: uncultured bacterium
Lineage: Bacteria
Description: bacterial SSU rRNA
Rfam family: Bacterial small subunit ribosomal RNA
Source: RNAcentral
AUUGAACGCUGGCGGCAUGCUUUACACAUGCAAGUCGAACGGGCUUGGGGGCUUGCUCCCAAGUUAGUGGCGAACGGGUGAGUAAUACAUCGGAACGUACCGUGUAGUGGGGGAUAACGUAGCGAAAGUUACGCUAAUACCGCAUACGAUCUACGGAUGAAAGCAGGGGACCUUCGGGCCUUGUGCUAUACGAGCGGCCGAUGUCUGAUUAGCUGGUUGGUGAGGUAAAGGCUCACCAAGGCGACGAUCAGUAGCGGGUCUGAGAGGAUGAUCCGCCACACUGGGACUGAGACACGGCCCAGACUCCUACGGGAGGCAGCAGUGGGGAAUUUUGGACAAUGGGCGAAAGCCUGAUCCAGCAAUGCCGCGUGUGUGAAGAAGGCCCUGCGGGUUGUAAAGCACUUUCAGUGGGGAAGAACGGAUACGGGCCAAUACCCGCAUCACUGACGUUACCCACAGAAGAAGCACCGGCUAACUCCGUGCCAGCAGCCGCGGUAAU